GGCACCAUAGCCAAGAGGUAAGGCCACGGUCUGCAAAAUCGUUAUCACCAGUUCGAUUCUGGUUGGUGCCUCCA
RNAcentral lists this transfer RNA (74 nucleotides) under Clostridiales bacterium. RNAcentral describes it as "tRNA-Cys". It matches the Rfam family "tRNA". Rfam says of the family: Transfer RNA (tRNA) molecules are approximately 80 nucleotides in length. Their secondary structure includes four short double-helical elements and three loops (D, anti-codon, and T loops). The record is from RNAcentral. Lineage: Bacteria; Bacillati; Bacillota; Clostridia; Eubacteriales. RNAcentral also lists the same sequence under 1 other name.